Drosophila melanogaster (fruit fly) is the source of this 125-nucleotide small nucleolar RNA. NCBI's taxonomy places the organism in Eukaryota, Metazoa, Arthropoda, Insecta, Diptera, Drosophilidae. The record is from Ensembl.
CGCCAUGAUGUAAACUCUGUAAAUCUGUCUUGCGAAGAUUGGAUCCCACUGCUGCAGCUCCGCGUUACUGGAUGCAGUCGAUGGUGCUCCACUCACUGUGCGCUCUUAGCUGAUAAGAUCUGACC